RNAcentral lists this small RNA (131 nucleotides) under Salmonella enterica. RNAcentral's name for it is "RtT sRNA". It matches the Rfam family "RtT RNA". Rfam says of the family: This family represents a bacterial cis-regulatory element known as RtT RNA. The exact function of RtT is unknown although it is thought that it may be involved in changing the cellular response in relation to amino acid starvation. Lineage: Bacteria; Pseudomonadati; Pseudomonadota; Gammaproteobacteria; Enterobacterales; Enterobacteriaceae. The record is from RNAcentral.
UAUCUCUCCGUACGGGGAAGAAUGAGAAGCUUCGACUAAGGUUCGAUUCGAGCGCAGCGAGAAAGCGUUGCCGUAGGCAACGACCCGAAGGGCGAAGCGCGCAGCGCUGAGUAAUCCUUCCCCCACCACCA